This 460-nucleotide ribosomal RNA is filed under the name uncultured bacterium. RNAcentral's name for it is "partial 16S ribosomal RNA". It matches the Rfam family "Bacterial small subunit ribosomal RNA", at positions 338 to 795 of the family's 1533-position model. The record is from RNAcentral.
CCUACGGGGUGCAGCAGUGAGGAAUAUUGGUCAAUGGACGAGAGUCUGAACCAGCCAAGUAGCGUGAAGGAUGACUGCCCUAUGGGUUGUAAACUUCUUUUAUAUGGGAAUAAAAUGUUCCACGUGUGGGAUUUUGUAUGUACCAUAUGAAUAAGGAUCGGCUAACUCCGUGCCAGCAGCCGCGGUAAUACGGAGGAUCCGAGCGUUAUCCGGAUUUAUUGGGUUUAAAGGGAGCGUAGGGGGAUUGUUAAGUCAGUUGUGAAAGUUUGCGGCUCAACCGUAAAAUUGCAGUUGAAACUGGCAGUCUUGAGUACAGUAGAGGUGGGCGGAAUUCGUGGUGUAGCGGUGAAAUGCUUAGAUAUCACGAAGAACUCCGAUUGCGAAGGCAGUUCACUGGACUGCAACUGACACUGAGGCUCGAAAGUGUGGGUAUCAAACAGGAUUAGAUACCCGGGUAGUC